UAAAGCUACUAAGAGCUAAUGGAGAAUGCCUUGGUACUGACAGCCGAUGAAGGACGUGUAAAGCUGCGAUAAGCUGCGGGGAACUGCUAAAAGGUCUUGAUCCGCAGAAUUCCGAAUGGGGAAACCCUCUAGGGUUAAAACCUUAGAACCCAUAACUGAAUACAUAGGUUAUGUGGAGGAAAGCCUGUGAACUGAAACAUCUUAGUAACAGGACGAAGAGAAAAUAAACUAAUGAUUCCGAAAGUAGCGGCGAGCGAAAUUGGAACAGCCUAAACCUUGUGUACGUGAUAGACUGCAAUCGUUGUGCAUUGGGUGUUGUGGGACUUACUGAAAUAUUUGCAGGUAUUUCGAAGAGUUACAAAAUUAUUUGUUAGUUGAAUUCAACUGGAAAGUUGAGCCAUAGCGGGUGAUAGCCCCGUAAACGAAAACAAAUGAUCUCUUGUAAGUAUCCCGAGUAAGGCGGGGCACGUGAAACCCUGUCUGAAUCCACCAGGACCAUCUGGUAAGGCUAAAUACUAGUCAGUGACCGAUAGUGAACGAGUACAGUGAUGGAAAGGCGAAAAGAACAGUGAGAAGCUGAGUGAAAUAGAUCCUGAAACCGUUAGCUUACAAUCAGUUAGAGCACUAUUGAUAGUGUGAUAGCGUGCCUGUUGAAGAAUGAGCCGGCGAGUUAUCUUAUGUUGCAAGGUUAAGGAGUUAAUAUCCGGAGCCACAGCGAAAGCGAGUUUGAAUAGAGCGUUAAGUAACAUGCGAUAGACCCGAACCUUGGUGAUCUAACCAUGACCAGGAUGAAGCGUAGGUAACACUACGUGGAGGUCCGAACCGACUGAUGUUGAAAAAUCAGCGGAUGAGUUGUGGUUAGGGGUGAAAUGCCAAUCGAACCAAGAGCUAGCUGGUUCUCCCCGAAAUGCGUUUAGGCACAGCGUCAGAUUUAUCUUACAGGAGGUAGAGCACUGGUUUUGUGCGGGCGACGAAAUGUUGUACCAAACAAUGUCAAACUCCGAAUGCCUGUAAUGUUACUGUCUGGCAGUGAGGCUAUGAGUGAUAAGAUCCAUGGCCAAGAGGGAAACAGCCCAGAACGCCAGUUAAGGUCCCUAAUAUAUGCUAAGUGGUUAAGGAGGUAGAGUUGCUGUGACAACCAGGAGGUUGGCUUAGAAGCAGCCAUCCCUUGAAAGAGUGCGUAAUAGCUCACUGGUCAAGCGACUCCGCGCCGAAAAUACACCGGGACUAAAGCAUAUAACCGAAACUGCGUCAUUAAGUUUACUUAAUGGGUAGGGGAGCGUUCUGUUGUAGGUUGAAGUCAGAUCGAAAGGACUGAUGGACGAAGCAGAAGUGAGAAUGUCGGCAUGAGUAGCGAAAACAUUGGUGAGAAUCCAAUGCACCGAAAACCUAAGGUUUCCCCUGGCAGGCUCGUCCGCGGGGGGUUAGUCGGAACCUAAGCUCAGGCCGAAAGGCGUAGGCGAUGGACAACAGGUUGAUAUUCCUGUACUAUCUGGUAAUCGUUAUCAGAUGCGGAGGGACGCAGGAGGAUAAGCACGCAGACGAUUGGAUGUGUCUGUUUAAGCGUGUAGCUAGUUUGAGUAGGAAAAUCCGCUCAGGCGUUAUGACGUGAGGCGUGAUGAGGAGGCUCUACGGAGCUGAAGGUGUUGAUUCCACACUGCCAAGAAAAUCUUCGCAAUCGAGAUUAUCCGGUAUCCGUACCGUAAACCGCCACAGGUAGGUUGGUAGAAUAUACUAAGGUGCGCGAGACAACUCUCGCUAAGGAACUCGGCAAAAUCACCUCGUAACUUCGGGAGAAGAGGUACCCUGGUAGCGUGUAACGGCUUGCCCGUGAAGCGUGAUAGGGUCGCAGUGAAUUGGCCCAUGCGACUGUUUACCAAAAACACAGGUCUCUGCUAAGUCGAUCAAGACGAUGUAUAGGGGCUGACGCCUGCCCGGUGUCGGAAGGUUACGUGGAAGUGUUAGACCUCGGUCGAAGCACCGAAACUAAGCCCCGAUGAACGGCGGCCGUAACUAUAACGGUCCUAAGGUAGCGAAAUUCCUUGUCAGGUAA
RNAcentral lists this ribosomal RNA (2053 nucleotides) under human gut metagenome. RNAcentral's name for it is "bacterial LSU rRNA". It matches the Rfam family "Bacterial large subunit ribosomal RNA", at positions 1 to 1979 of the family's 2925-position model. The record is from RNAcentral.